Molecule: small nuclear RNA, 158 nt
Organism: Hemibagrus wyckioides
Lineage: Eukaryota; Metazoa; Chordata; Actinopteri; Siluriformes; Bagridae
Product: U1 spliceosomal RNA
Exons: 1
Source: RefSeq, a predicted model, not a curated record
UUGGUUACCUGGUAGGGGUAAUACCAUGAUCAUGGAGGUGGAACACAAGGCUUACCCCUUGCACCCAGGCUGUGCUGAUCUUUGCAAAUUCCCCAAAUGCUGGAAUCUUGACUGCAUAAUUUCUGAUUAGUGGGGGAUUGCAUUUGCGCUCUUUCCCA